This 482-nucleotide ribosomal RNA is filed under the name uncultured bacterium. RNAcentral's name for it is "partial 16S ribosomal RNA". It matches the Rfam family "Bacterial small subunit ribosomal RNA", at positions 30 to 507 of the family's 1533-position model. The record is from RNAcentral.
AUUGAACGCUGGCGGCAUGCUUUACACAUGCAAGUCGAACGGUAACAGGCCGCCAGGUGCUGACGAGUGGCGAACGGGUGAGUAAUGCAUCGGAACGUGCCCAGUCGUGGGGGAUAACUACUCGAAAGAGUAGCUAAUACCGCAUACGAUCUAUGGAUGAAAGCGGGGGACCGUAAGGCCUCGCGCGAUUGGAGCGGCCGAUGUCAGAUUAGGUAGUUGGUGGGGUAAAGGCUCACCAAGCCAACGAUCUGUAGCUGGUCUGAGAGGACGACCAGCCACACUGGGACUGAGACACGGCCCAGGCUCCUACGGGAGGCAGCAGUGGGGAAUUUUGGACAAUGGGCGCAAGCCUGAUCCAGCAAUGCCGCGUGCAGGAAGAAGGCCUUCGGGUUGUAAACUGCUUUUGUACGGAACGAAACGGCUCUGGUUAAUACCCGGGGCUAAUGACGGUACCGUAAGAAUAAGCACCGGCUAACUACGUG